CCUACCCAUGCAGUCGAGCGCCAACAAGGGGCGGGGCUGACGGGAGAGUAACAUCCGGGAACGGAGGAUAUGGUUCGGAACAACCCAGGGAAACUUGGGCUAAUACCGGAUUUGCCCUUACGGGGAAAGAAUCAUCGCCGAAGGAUCGGCCCGCGUCUGAUUAGCUAGUUGGUGGGGUAACGGCCCACCAAGGCGACGAUCAGUAGCUGGUCUGAGAGGAUGAUCAGCCUCACUGGGACUGAGACACGGCCCAGACUCCUACGGGAGGCAGCAGUGGG
This 278-nucleotide ribosomal RNA is filed under the name uncultured Hyphomicrobiales bacterium. RNAcentral describes it as "uncultured Rhizobiales bacterium partial 16S ribosomal RNA". It matches the Rfam family "Bacterial small subunit ribosomal RNA", at positions 50 to 357 of the family's 1533-position model. The record is from RNAcentral. Lineage: Bacteria; Pseudomonadati; Pseudomonadota; Alphaproteobacteria; Hyphomicrobiales.